UCUAGGUCACAUUUGGGUAUGGAUUAAAGAAAGAUGAUGAACCUUCUGUUAUUUUUGAAAUGCAUGAUGAAUUAACUAGGUUGUGCUUGUCAGCUCUGUUUAUUAAGAUGGACCGGAACCAAGCCCCAGAACCCAAACAACAACCAAAGCAAGUUCAACCUUGGAUCCAGACUUUUUACCUGUUUUCCCUUUUGAACGACCCAAACCCAGUUUUUAAGGUAAUUUUGAUCAGGAUUUGAUCUAUUUCUAAUUACUAAGAGAAGCAGAAUCACAGUCUUGAGUUCAGGAGAUAAAAUACAAAAAAAUUGGCUCUUUGUCAAGAACCUUUUUUUCCAGAGUUAUGGAACUGUUUUUAUCACCACUGUGGUAUAAAUGAGCCUUCUAAAUAGACACAGGAAGGUGGAUAUAGUACCUUCAGUCAUCAUCUUCUGUCUCUGCAGGUGGCUGUCCCAGCAGACUCAGGCAAUGACAGGUUUUACAGUAACAUUGCCCUAAUCUGCAAGAGCAGAAAGAGUGGGAAUGUUCUUUUCCCUCAUUGACUGUCUCACUCUCUGAGAUUUGUUGCAUCGCUGAACAUGUGCUUGUAACUACAACUCAGUAUAAUUGAGGUCAUAAAAUUAUACAGCCAAUUAUGUAAAAUGAUCAUUGUUAAUUGUAAUCAUUUCUCGUAGGAUAAAAUGGGAACAAACCCA
This is a long non-coding RNA of Neopsephotus bourkii (Bourke's parrot), 692 nucleotides long. RefSeq lists it as uncharacterized. The transcript has 2 exons. NCBI's taxonomy places the organism in Eukaryota, Metazoa, Chordata, Aves, Psittaciformes, Psittacidae. The record is from RefSeq and is a predicted model, not a curated record.